Molecule: long non-coding RNA, 249 nt
Filed under: Lathyrus oleraceus (garden pea)
Lineage: Eukaryota; Viridiplantae; Streptophyta; Magnoliopsida; Fabales; Fabaceae
Description: Pisum sativum (pea) long non-coding RNA (PSAT_LNC006036)
Source: RNAcentral
UCUUUUCAAAAAGAACAUUGUUCAAUUCUUCUAACGCGCAUAACAAACUAGUGUUUAAGCCUUCGUCGAGAGUAGGCAAGCCAAUAUUUAUCCUUUAGAAUGCGAUCUAAACAGUUGUUCAUUAAAAGACACCAAAAAAGCGUAGCUCCCCGAACUAUGAAUGCUCUUAUUUCCUUAUUGCACUAAAGUAUACGUAGGCACGAGAUUACGAGAUCUUGGUGAGCAACUAAUAAAAAAACCUCCCUUUUU